CUGGUGUCGUGCCAAAUUUGCAAACCUUUUAAUGUGUUUCUGUUUCUCAGGAGGGAGAAAACAGAAGCUUUGGGAUUCUUCUUUUUAACCUCCAAAGUGUUAUGGGUGUGAAAGCUGUGGACAAAAUCUUCCCCACUGGAUGCUGUCUACAGAGCGGGUUUCCCCAGUUGAGAGUUGAACCUCCUACCAGUUGUGUGACCUUCGGACUAUGGGUAUUGAUGAAGGCACACAGCUAUAAUCUCAGAUUAUGAUGUACCUGCACCUUCACUUCUGCCAGUAUUACUUGCUGUGCUCAGCCAGCUGCAGAGCGACUCUGCUGGAGGAAAGAUCACAUCCAAGGACCUCCAUCCAAUGUCAGGGCAUUAUCUAGCUCAGCUUGGCACAGUUCAAGUGCACAACUGCAACCUUUUCCAUGACCCAAAAGUCAGUGCCACUCCGUGGGCUGGCAGUUUGCAAAUAAAACGUAUCCUUAAUGAAGUGUGGAAGCUCCUGUUCUUUUCCUUCCUCAGGAGACGUGCCUUAAUCUCUGGCUCACAGCCUUGUCAAAUGCUGCAGUAAAGAACUGGCAAGCUCAGUGCUGCUAAUGGAUUGAAAUCUCCACCAGGUUGUUCUUUUUUAAUCUUUUUCCCCACUUUUCUUCUUUCUUCUUCUUCUUCUUUUCUUUUUUUUUUUUGUCUUUCUUUUUUUCUUCCUAAAUACUGCAGCAACCACAGUAAUAUUCCAGUCCUCAGUCUUCUGUAAUUAUUGGUUAGGGACUUUGGACUGAAGAACAUGUAAAGGAAACAUAUAUUGCACCACUAAAAAGUGUCAAGGAUUUGGUUGCUUAUGUAGGUCAAUCAUUAAGGGAAAGAAAUAAGAUUAAAACCAGAGGCAGUUCCGCGUAUUUGAAGUUCCUCCUGAAGAUAUAAAAACUGUGGUGUUUAUGCUUAUAACUUCUGACAGGUUGGCUAAGUCAUAGGCGUUUUGUCUCUCCUAUUGUAGAAGUGGAGAAUGUUUGGGCUUAUUUAUUUAUUUACUGUCUUUUUGCCAGAAGGUAACUGUAAGCCUGUGUGUGAAUCACAUCUGAAUUGCUUGCAAAUGAGUAGGUACAACGUUGGAAAUUAUGACAGACUCUCGUUUUUGGUCUUUUUGUUAUUGUUGUUAGACUAAUACUGGGGUUUGGGGCAGCUCUCCCUAAUCCUGACAUAAACUGGAAAGCUGUGACUGUUUCAGAAUUUAUGUUGUUUUCUUUUUUUUUUCUUAUUACAGAGAUAUGCUGUGCAACCUCAGCUUGCCUCUUCUAUGAGUUCUGCUCUUGUGCAGCUGAAAGACAUCACUGAGCAAAACUGACCCCUUUGCAAUGGUAUUUUGAGCCUUGGAUGCAAAGAUGGAUGCACCAUUACAGCGUGGUUUGCAACCUGAUGUUUUUCAGAAUUUGUGAGUCUUUACAGUAACUUGUGUUGCAACCCAAAAUCUGUGAAUAUUAAGCUCAGGGGAAAAACAGAACAAAAAAAGAGAGGUGGGAAAGCAAUUAUGCACUCAUUCAUGCUAGGGGCAGGAAUUUGUAGCGUUCCUUUGAUCGCUGUUAACCUGGUUCUGUCAAUACUGAUAACUUUAUGAUGUCCUGGUAAGAGGAAAAUCCAAUCCACGCACUGACGGGCACCGAAAGAAAUUCAGAGCUGAAAUGUUACCAAGUGAUGAGUGUGCAGGUAGCAUUGCUUAUUCCAUGUCAUUGUGCUGUGGAAUUGAUGGUAGGAUGAUGCUCAUUUGAGAGACAGAGGUUGUAUGCUGUAUUUAAAGUGGUGUUUUCCAUAGAGCUCCAUAGAGCUCCUGUCUAUCUAUGGGAACUGCUGAAACACUGGCAAAUCUAAUCUUGGAACAUUUCCAUCAUCAAAGAUCGUCUGUUCUGCUGUGGAAGACCACAUAGACUCAGGUCCUCAUCCUUUUUGCCCAUUGAAAUGUUAUGUGAAUGAAAGUGAGUGUACUCAGUGCAUCCACACAGUGUUGCAGGUAGAUGGCCUACAACCAGCAUGUCAUCUCUGCAUCUUCCCAGCUUGCAGUGUCCUUAAAAAAACACAUACGUAUAAUACUUCUGAGCUGCCUACUGAAAGCAGCAGUUUGCAAUAUAUGAGGGCAUUUUUUCUAAAGGCUGAAUUUUAUAUCAAAAGGUGCACUGAAUCCUUGAAUGAUAUUUGAGGAUAGCAAAAGACACCUGAGUUCUUGUGAAUAAAAGGCAGUUUCUUAAAGAGCUCA
This is a long non-coding RNA of Coturnix japonica (Japanese quail), 2232 nucleotides long. The record is from Ensembl. NCBI's taxonomy places the organism in Eukaryota, Metazoa, Chordata, Aves, Galliformes, Phasianidae.